Molecule: ribosomal RNA, 458 nt
Filed under: uncultured bacterium
Lineage: Bacteria
Description: partial 16S ribosomal RNA
Rfam family: Bacterial small subunit ribosomal RNA
Source: RNAcentral
CCUACGGGUGGCAGCAGUGGGGAAUAUUGCACAAUGGGGGAAACCCUGAUGCAGCGACGCCGCGGGAGUGAAGAAGUAAUUCGUUACGUAAAGCUCUAUCAGCAGGGAAGAAACACUGACCUUACGGUCAGCAGACGGUACCUGAGUAAGAAGCCCCGGCUAACUACGUGCAAGCAGCCGCGGUAAUACGUAGGGGGCAAGCGUUAUCCGGAUUUACUGGGUGAAAAGGGAGCGUAGACGGUGCGCCAAGUCUGGAGUGAAAUGCCGCAGCUUAACUGCGGAACUGCUUUGGAAACUGGCGAACUAGAGUGCGGGAGGGGUAAGCGGAAUUCCUAGUGUAGCGGUGAAAUGCGUAGAUAUUAGGAGGAACACCGGUGGCGAAGGCGGCUUACUGGACCGUAACUGACGUUGAGGCUCGAAAGCGUGGGGAGCAAACAGGAUUAGAUACCCCAGUAGUC